AACUCACCUGCCGAAUGAACUAGCCCUGAAAAUGGAUGGCGCUUAAGCGUAUUACCCAUACCUCGCCGCCAGGGUAGAAACUAUGCCCUGGCGAGUAGGCAGGCGUGGAGGUUGUGACGAAGCCUUGGGAGUGAUCCCGGGUAGAACAGCCUCUAGUGCAGAUCUUGGUGGUAGUAGCAAAUACUCAAAUGAGAACUUUGAGGACUGAAGUGGGGAAAGGUUCCAUGUGAACAGCAGUUG
This 240-nucleotide ribosomal RNA is filed under the name Pavlova gyrans. RNAcentral's name for it is "partial Eukaryotic large subunit ribosomal RNA". It matches the Rfam family "Eukaryotic large subunit ribosomal RNA", at positions 1287 to 1526 of the family's 3401-position model. The record is from RNAcentral. Lineage: Eukaryota; Haptophyta; Pavlovophyceae; Pavlovales; Pavlovaceae.